Molecule: ribosomal RNA, 468 nt
Filed under: uncultured bacterium
Lineage: Bacteria
Description: partial 16S ribosomal RNA
Rfam family: Bacterial small subunit ribosomal RNA
Source: RNAcentral
GACGAACGCUGGCGGCGUGCUUAACACAUGCAAGUCGAACGGAAAGGCGCUGCUUUUGUGGGGUGCUCGAGUGGCGAACGGGUGGGUAACACGUGAGUAACCUGCCCUUGACUCUGGGAUAACUUCAGGAAACUGGGGUUAAUCCCAUAUAGGAGCUCCUGCGGCUGGGGGGGGGUUGGACUGUGUCGGAGGUUGGGGAUGGGGGCGCGGCUUUUCCGGCUUUUGGGGGGGUAGUGGCUUACCAAGGCUUUGACGGGUGGCCGGCCUGAGAGGGUGACCGGCAACGUUGGGACUGAGACGCGGCCCAGACGCCGACGGGAGGGAGCAGUGGGGGAAAGUGCGAAAUGGGCAGAAGGCGUGUGCGGCGACGCCGCGUGCGUGAUGACGGCCUUCGGGUUGUAAACCGCGUUCGCCUGUGACGAAGCGUGAGUGACGGUAAUGGGUAAAGAAGCACCGGCUAACUACGUG